CAGCCGCCGCGGUAAAACCAGCAUCUCAAGUGGUCAGGAUGAUUAUUGGGCCUAAAGCAUCCGUAGCCUGCUUUGUUAGUUUUCGGUUAAAUCCAUACGCUUAACGUAUGGGCUGCCGGGAAUACUGCAAAGCUAGGGAGUGGGAGAGGUAGACGGUACUCGGUAGGAAGGGGUAAAAUCCUUUGAUCUAUUGAUGACCACCUGUGGCGAAGGCGGUCUACCAGAACACGUCCGACGGUGAGGGAUGAAAGCUGGGGGAGCAAACCGGAUUAGAUACCCGGGUAGUCCCAGCUGUAAACUAUGCAAACUCGGUGAUGCAUUGGCUUGAUGCCAAUGCAGUGCCGCAGGGAAGCCGUUAAGUUUGCCGCCUGGGAAGUACGUACGCAAGUAUGAAACUUAAAGGAAUUGGCGGGGGAGCAC
Molecule: ribosomal RNA, 420 nt
Filed under: uncultured Nitrososphaerota archaeon
Lineage: Archaea; Thermoproteati; Nitrososphaerota
Description: bacterial SSU rRNA
Rfam family: Archaeal small subunit ribosomal RNA
Source: RNAcentral